GUGGGGAAUCUUGCGCAAUGGGCGAAAGCCUGACGCAGCCAUGCCGCGUGAAUGAUGAAGGUCUUAGGAUUGUAAAAUUCUUUCACCGGGGACGAUAAUGACGGUACCCGGAGAAGAAGCUCCGGCUAACUUCGUGCCAGCAGCCGCGGUAAUACGAAGGUCCCAAGCGUUGUUCGGAAUCACUGGGCGUAAAGGGAGCGUAGGCGGCGUGGUAAGUCAGAUGUGAAAUCCCGGGGCUCAACCCCGGAACUGCAUCCGAUACUGCCAUGCUUGAGGGUUGGAGAGGUAGCGGGAAUUCUCGGUGUAGCAGUGAAAUGCGUGGAUAUCGAGAGGAACACUCGUGGCGAAGGCGAGCUACUGGACAACAUCUGACGCUGAGGCUCGAAGGCCAGGGGAGCAAAAGGGAUUAGAAACCCCAGUAGUCC
RNAcentral lists this ribosomal RNA (425 nucleotides) under uncultured bacterium. Its description in RNAcentral is "partial 16S ribosomal RNA". It matches the Rfam family "Bacterial small subunit ribosomal RNA", at positions 354 to 796 of the family's 1533-position model. The record is from RNAcentral.